GAUGAACGCUGGCGGCGUGCCUAAUACAUGCAAGUCGAGCGAACAGAUGAGGAGCUUGCUCCUCUGACGUUAGCGGCGGACGGGUGAGUAACACGUGGAUAACCUACCUAUAAGACUGGGAUAACUUCGGGAAACCGGAGCUAAUACCGGAUAAUAUAGUGAACCGCAUGGUUCAAUAGUGAAAGACGGUUUUGCUGUCACUUAUAGAUGGAUCCGCGCCGCAUUAGCUAGUUGGUAAGGUAACGGCUUACCAAGGCAACGAUGCGUAGCCGACCUGAGAGGCUGAUCGGCCACACUGGAACUGAAACACGGUCCAGACUCCUACGGGAGGCAGCAGUAGGGAAUCUUCCGCAGUGGGCGAAAGCCUGACGGAGCAACGCCGCGUGAGUGAUGAAGGUCUUCGGAUCGUAAAACUCUGUUAUUAGGGAAGAACAAAUGUGUAAGUAACUAUGCACGUCUUGACGGUACCUAAUCAGAAAGCCACGGCUAACUACGUG
RNAcentral lists this ribosomal RNA (497 nucleotides) under uncultured bacterium. RNAcentral describes it as "partial 16S ribosomal RNA". It matches the Rfam family "Bacterial small subunit ribosomal RNA", at positions 28 to 507 of the family's 1533-position model. The record is from RNAcentral.